UACAGAGGGUGCGAGCGUUGUCCGGAAUCACUGGGCGUAAAGGGCGCGUAGGUGGCCCGACAAGUCACUGGUGAAAGCUCGAUGCUCAACAUCGAGUCGGCCAGUGAUACUGUUGGGCUGGAGCACUGUAGAGGCUAAUGGAAUUCCGGGUGUAGCGGUGGAAUGCGUAGAGAUCCGGAAGAACACCGGUGGCGAAGGCGGUUAGCUGGGCAGUUGCUGACACUGAGGCGCGACAGCGUGGGGAGCAAACAGG
This 253-nucleotide ribosomal RNA is filed under the name uncultured bacterium. RNAcentral's name for it is "partial 16S ribosomal RNA". It matches the Rfam family "Bacterial small subunit ribosomal RNA", at positions 524 to 776 of the family's 1533-position model. The record is from RNAcentral.